GGGGUGGUAGCUCAGCCUGGUUAGAGCGCCGGCCUGUCACGCCGGAGGUCGCGAGUUCAACUCUCGUCCACCCCGCCA
RNAcentral lists this transfer RNA (78 nucleotides) under Candidatus Latescibacterota bacterium. RNAcentral describes it as "Candidatus Latescibacteria bacterium tRNA-Asp". It matches the Rfam family "tRNA". Rfam says of the family: Transfer RNA (tRNA) molecules are approximately 80 nucleotides in length. Their secondary structure includes four short double-helical elements and three loops (D, anti-codon, and T loops). Further hydrogen bonds mediate the characteristic L-shaped molecular structure. tRNAs have two regions of fundamental functional importance: the anti-codon, which is responsible for specific mRNA codon recognition, and the 3' end, to which the tRNAs corresponding amino acid is attached (by aminoacyl-tRNA synthetases). tRNAs cope with the degeneracy of the genetic code in two manners: having more than one tRNA (with a specific anti-codon) for a particular amino acid; and 'wobble' base-pairing, i.e. permitting non-standard base-pairing at the 3rd anti-codon position. RNAcentral also lists the same sequence under 1 other name. Lineage: Bacteria; Pseudomonadati; Candidatus Latescibacterota. The record is from RNAcentral.